Molecule: ribosomal RNA, 304 nt
Filed under: uncultured bacterium
Lineage: Bacteria
Description: partial 16S ribosomal RNA
Rfam family: Bacterial small subunit ribosomal RNA
Source: RNAcentral
CAGCAGCAGCCGCGGGAAUACGAAGGGUGCAAGCGUUAAUCGGAAUUACUGGGCGUAAAGCGUGCGUAGGCGGUGAGUUAAGUCUGCUGUGAAAUCCCCGGGCUCAACCUGGGAAUGGCAGUGGAUACUGGCUCGCUAGAGUGUGUCAGAGGAUGGUGGAAUUCCCGGUGUAGCGGUGAAAUGCGUAGAGAUCGGGAGGAACAUCAGUGGCGAAGGCGGCCAUCUGGGACAACACUGACGCUGAGGCACGAAAGCGUGGGGAGCAAACAGGAUUAGAUACCCGCGUAGUCCCUGUCUCUUAUAC